CAGCGCUAUAGAGUUACAGCUGAACAGACCGUCUGCGAUGCACUUUUAAAAGUAGUUAUAUUAGUAAUCUACUGUAGAAGCUCAGUGAUGUCACAGGACUGAUAUGUGAUGGAGCAUAAGGGUUGAAGCCGGUCAGCAGUGCUGAAGGGACCAUGGUGAAAUUGAAAACAUAACAAGAGUGCUGCAGGAAGAGGAUGGUACAGGUCAGGACUCAGGAGUGGUGAUGACCAAUGAUGUUACAGGUGGAGGGUCAGAUAUGUUGGCUGGUUGCUGGAAGAGGAUACACUUCUCAGUUUUUGUGAGGAAGUCUGCCAAAAAGCUACUGUCGUCUUCCUGGUAGCUUCCAGCACCUGCUCUCAGUCUUGUCUUGACCUUUUUGUUCCUGACAAACUGGUCUGCCUCAAAAUGUGCCUGCAGACACUGUCUUAGGUGUCUUACAUUACAGGCAUUGCCGUUUAUUGCUCUGUCCAAAUCUGUAGUCCUCGUGCCUCCUGCAGCAGGUCUUUGGUAUGCUCACACAGUGUCUUAAGGACUGUUCCACAGGUGCAUGUGCAAUAAUUGUUUAUGGUUCGUUAAACAAGCAUGAAAAACAUUGUUUAAAAAGCAGGGAAGCCAUACAUUCGCACUCCUUUCUCAGAACGAUUGGAGCAUCUCCAUGCAGCACAGCAAACCAGGGUGGAGACUAUACAAGGACAUCGUGGAGAAAAGGACACAGACAACAAUUCAUUUUAUUAGAAAUUUAUUUAUAAAUGCAUUGCUAUAAGUAUGUGCAUAGCAAAAGUCAAAACACACAAUCAGAUUUUUUAAUUGAAUAUAUUCAUCUUUUUAAUUA
This is a long non-coding RNA of Sinocyclocheilus anshuiensis, 832 nucleotides long. RefSeq lists it as uncharacterized. NCBI's taxonomy places the organism in Eukaryota, Metazoa, Chordata, Actinopteri, Cypriniformes, Cyprinidae. The transcript is spliced from 7 exons. The record is from RefSeq and is a predicted model, not a curated record.